RNAcentral lists this long non-coding RNA (2463 nucleotides) under Homo sapiens (human). RNAcentral's name for it is "HSALNT0175255". Lineage: Eukaryota; Metazoa; Chordata; Mammalia; Primates; Hominidae. The record is from RNAcentral.
CAAAAUUGAAAACCUAACUUAAUAGUAUGCAUCUGUAACAAUAGCUGAGGGUUGACCAAUCCCAGCGGCCAUACUUCAACCACUCAUAGACUGCUGAGUUUUAAAACUGCCUUCAAAUAAGGCAAAUGCGGAGCUAUAACCAAUCUCACUGUUUCUAUACCUCACUUUCGAUUCCUGUACAUCACUUUACCUUUGUUGUCUACAAAUUUGUUCUGACCACGAGGCACCCUUGGAGUCUCUGUGAAUCUGCUGGGAUUCUGGGGGCUGCUAGAUUCACAAAUCGUUCAUUGCUCAAUUAAAUUUCUUUAGAUUUAAUUUGGUUGAAGUUUUUCUUUUAUCAGAUGGCGUCAGAAGCGGGAACCAAAGUGGAGCUUCUAGCGACCCGCAGGAGUGCUGAGUGAACAGCAAGGAACCUGCAGGAUCCACUUGUGUCCCUUGUCUCUCAGAGCCGCUGGGGAUCAUGGGUUUUCCAUGCAAGGGAGCUGAUGUUAUUAUACCAGUAGUUUAUUAUGCUACAGUGUAUUUUCACUAGUAAAUAAAGCUUUUUAUGGUUCACUGAGGACAGUUCCUUCACAGUCUAGAGCCUGAAGAUUGGAUCUUCUGAGAACAUCUGAGGAAGACUGUCCUUGCCAUCCACACUACAGCAAAACUUUGGCCCCUUGAAUUUUGGGUUUAUAAUCUCACAACUGAGAAGGUUCCUUCCACACUCCUGGAACUGUACACCCAUUGGAACCCUUAAGGUAAAACUAACCAGGGAAGUUUCUCCCCAGAAGAAGAUGGAAUACUUGAUGUGAACAGCUUUUCCCAAGAUCAUGGAUCAAAACUUCAACUACCAUAAGACUCUUAUCUUUGAAUAUUUUUUCCUUGUUAUGUCUCUAUGAACAACAAUAGAAGUGAAAAGGGGUUCCAUUAUGUGCAAUUAUAGUGUAUACUUUUCUUUGUGAAGGAUUUUCCAGCCAGUCUUAUACAUGAAUAAACUUAUACUUCAAUAGAUAAAAGAUGAAGGCCCAAUAUAGGCGAGAAACUUUAGUGGUGCAUAUGUUGCCUCAUAAUCAGUCAAAACUCCUCUUAACCCAUAUCAUGAAUUAAAGAGAACUUUAUCAGGAGGCCUUCACUCUUCUAGAAGGACAUCAUUUAUUAAGUUCUUUUUCCAUGGUUUAGAAUAAAAAAGGCCAUAAUCAGAAAUGUCUCCCUCAUAAUAGGCUCAACAGCAAAUUACACUAUAAAGGAUAUUGUUACACAACAAACUUUAAAUUGUCCUGUGAAAGUUAUGCUAAAUAAUAGAUUGGCUAAACAGAAAAGCACAUGUGCAGCUGCUGACACUUGUGGCCUAUGGAGAAAUACACCAAAUGUAAAAUAUAAAAAUUCAGUUGCAGGGGAUUAAUGAAAGACCACUUAGUCAAGUGAGUAGACUUUGCACCUAGCUCAUUCUUUAAUCUAUUUAAUUUGUUUUGUUUUACGGGGACCCUGGGUAAGGAUAACUCCAAACUCUUGGUGUUAUCCUCCAGAUAUUCAUAGUAAUAGUUUCCCUGAUGCACUGUAUUUUUCUCAAAGGCUUUAAAUGUUUGCAUGCAGCCAUCUCUAGAAUGUCAAGUGCUUUCUCUUCAACUAGAAUGACGAAAGCUGAAAGAAAUGUGCUACCAUGAGGACACCGUAACUUAUGAGUGACAUGCUGAGACUAGAAACCCAAAAUGAUGGUAACUGAGAGUGGUGCUAAGGCCCUAAGCUUUGGUCACACUUUCAUCUAAGUGAGAACCUGAGCAAAAAGGGGGAAUUUUUUUUAAACAAAAUUAUGGGAGGCCAUUAUUUUGGACUAAGCUCAUGGGCGAGGCCCUAGCAAACCAAACCAAAUGAAAAUGGAGUCACUUGUGCUAAAUGUGACAUAAUCAAACUAAGGCUUCAAGAAAACACUUAGAUCCUAGAACAAAACAGGUUUUGUUUUUCUCCUGUAAAUAAGAUGUUCCAGCACAAGGAGGUACCCUCUACUCAGUCCUUAUUCUCUCCUUACAAACCUCACUGUUUCCCAGUGGGUUUCAAAACUGUAUAAGUACAUUUAUGACAGUGAUAGUAACAUCAAUGACUAAGGUUUCAAUCAAUCUCUCAAAAUUGAGGAAAUGAACAAAAAGGGGGAAUUGUUAAAAAAAAAAUAAACUAAAUAUGGCCUGAGAAGGACUCCAUACUUCUAUAUUUGUGUCCUUGUAGAUGAAUUGUAACCUAGCUUGUCAGACAAAAUUGAAAACCUAACUUAAUAGUACACACCCGUAAUAAUAGCUGAGUGUUGGCCAAUCCCAGUGGCCCAUACUUCAACCACUCAUAGACUGCUGAAUGUUCAAACUGUGUUUAAGUAAGGCAAAUGCUGAGCUGUAACCAAUCUCACUGUUUCUGUACCUCACUUCCAAUUCCAACUCACUGUCACUUUAACUUUUUUGUCUAUAAAUUUAUUCUGACCACGAGGCACUCCUG